This is a long non-coding RNA of Poecilia latipinna (sailfin molly), 2100 nucleotides long. RefSeq lists it as uncharacterized. Lineage: Eukaryota; Metazoa; Chordata; Actinopteri; Cyprinodontiformes; Poeciliidae. The transcript is spliced from 2 exons. The record is from RefSeq and is a predicted model, not a curated record.
GUAUGAAACUGCACCUCUUCUAGAGAUCGAAGUUAGUCAUGAGUUCAUGAAAUUCUGCGGAAUAGCCCUUUAGUGAAGAGCCGAAUCAGAUGCUAACUUCAACACUCCCAAAACUGUACAUUAUUUUUCCGCUCUGGCAUAUUAUCGUAAAUAAUUGUACAUUCUUUGACAAGCGUUUACUUAAACGCAUUGCUACUAAGUUUGUGUAAAGAAUUCAGUGACAAUUUCAGAGAGUAAAAGAGGAAGAUCCCAGCUGUGCUGUGCCCUUUGUUGUUGGGUAAAACUGCGGGACAGGUUAAACAGGUGACAAGGUGUCAGGUUUCGGCGGCUGGUUUCUCCCACAUGCGAUACAGAGGCAGACAACAUACGACCUUGGUCCAAAUUUACUUCUUUAAUAUCAAACAUUCGCCUUCCCAACAAAUAGUGCAGCCAUGAGACCGAAGUAUGACGGGUUGUCCCAUUGUAAGCUCGCUCUGGUGUUUGCCGUGGUGAUGGACGUGCUGGGUGUGACGUUCCUGCUGGUAGGCGUCUUUGCUUCCCUAGAGAUCCAGGGCGAAGACUUUGGGGAUCUGCUGGUGUACUCUGGAGCUCUGUUGGUGCUCUUUUCCAUGGCCGGCUGGGUGCUUUGGUAUAGCGGCAACAUCGAAGGUCUGCAUUUACAAAAAGACCCGAGUGGACAUAUGGGUUCUGCUAUGGACCGACUGGCUCGCUCGGUCAGCCGGAGGAUGCGGCUCCCCAGGACGCGCAGCAGUCCCCGUUAAACGGUCGAGGCAUCGGCCUGGUUUUGAUUCCUGUUGAGCCAACUUACUUGAAACAAAAGCCUAAUUCAAGGCUUUUGUCAGUUUUUGAUAAAAAAAAAGACCCAUCAACCUUUGUUUUUAUAAACAGAAUAUGUAUGUUUUGAUUAAGUAUGCACACAUGCACUAGUUUAUAUAGUCUUUGAUAUUAAAACUUUAUCAAUGAAUGAGUGUCUUUUCUCAGCUGCCUUGUUAAUAAUUUAUUGUCUUUGCUACAGGUAUAUCUCAAUAAUUUAAAACAUCCUCAAAAAGUUAAUUUCAGUAAAUCUGUUGAAAAUGUUGUGCUCACAUAUAUUCAUAUUUUAUAUAUAUUUAUACAUUUAUUGCUACUUAUUUUGAUGAUCAUGGGUCACACUCGAUGAAAACCCAAACCCUUUGGGUCAGCUAAUGUGUUAAAGAACCACAAGUUGUUUUAAUAGUGGCCUCCAGUUUGUCUGCAUUGCUGCGUUUGGUGUCCUCGUCUUCCACUUGAUGAUCCUCUGGAGCAAUGGUUCCCAGUCCUGGUCCUCGAGUACGCCUGCCCUGCAUCUUUUAGAUGUUUCCUUGCUUCCAAACAACUGACUUAAAUGUAUGGCGGAUUAAAAGGUUUCUGCAGCAUUUGGUGUUUGCAGAGGCGAUCAUUUGGAUGAAGUUUGCUGGAACAGAGACUCAUCUCAUCUCAACAUGCAGGGCAGGGGUACUUGAGGAACAGGUUUGGUAGUCAGUGCUCUAGAUUGGGGUUCAGGUCAGACCAGUUUGCAUGUCAAUCAAGUAUAGCAACAUUAUGAUCAUUAAAGCUGGUAUUGAUGCUUGUGGCAGUCUGGGCAGGCCCAAGGUUCUGCUGGGAAAUGAAAACAUCCCCAUCAAGCUCGUCAGUAAAGGGAAGCGUGCUCUAACAGUUCCUGUAACAGAUUUUGGACUUUUUUUUUUUUUUUAAUAAGACAUACUAGAAAAACACCAGCAGAUGGAACCCCAAAUCAUCUGAGGAUCUUCACACUGAGAAAGUGUUUAGUUCAUGUUUUCUUCUCUCAAAGUCAUAACAUUUUUUAAAUUUGACUUUGUGCUAAACAAUGGGCACAACAUGCCUGCAAAAUACCCAUCACACCAAAUGCUUAAGAAACUCUUUUUGAAGAGAGACCUGAAAAUGGGCUCUGGUUAUCCCUACUGCUUGUGUAUCUACUACACUUUUUCCUUCCACUAAACUUUAUAUUACUACAAAGCAGUCUGAACAGCCAGCUUCUUCUUAGUGGCUUACCCUUUUUGCCAAAUGUGUUAUUGACUCUCUACUGGAAAACAAUGUCAAGUCAGUAAAUAAUAAUAAAAA